GAUGAACGCUGGCGGGGUGCCUAAUACAUGCAAGUCGAGCGAACAGACGAGGAGCUUGCUCCUCUGACGUUAGCGGCGGACGGGUGAGUAACACGUGGAUAACCUACCUAUAAGACUGGGAUAACUUCGGGAAACCGGAGCUAAUACCGGAUAACAUGUUGAACCGCAUGGUUCAACAGUGAAAGACGGUUUUGCUGUCACUUAUAGAUGGAUCCGCGCCGCAUUAGCUAGUUGGUAAGGUAACGGCUUACCAAGGCAACGAUGCGUAGCCGACCUGAGAGGGUGAUCGGCCACACUGGAGCUGAGACACGGUCCAGACUCCUACGGGAGGCAGCAGUAGGGAAUCUUCCGCAAUGGGCGAAAGCCUGACGGAGCAACGCCGCGUGAGUGAAGAAGGUCUUCGGAUCGUAAAACUCUGUUAUUAGGGAAGAACAAAUGUGUAAGUAACUAUGCACGUCUUGACGGUACCUAAUCAGAAAGCCACGGCUAACUACGUG
RNAcentral lists this ribosomal RNA (497 nucleotides) under uncultured bacterium. RNAcentral's name for it is "partial 16S ribosomal RNA". It matches the Rfam family "Bacterial small subunit ribosomal RNA", at positions 28 to 507 of the family's 1533-position model. The record is from RNAcentral.